UUCCGCUUUGGCAGUGCAGUACAGAUAUUGGAGCCAUUCAGAGAAGAUUAGCAUGGUCCCUGCACAAAGAUGAAAUGCAAAUUUGUGAAGCGGUCUAUAUUUUA
Molecule: small nuclear RNA, 104 nt
Organism: Fukomys damarensis (Damara mole-rat)
Lineage: Eukaryota; Metazoa; Chordata; Mammalia; Rodentia; Bathyergidae
Source: Ensembl